AAGGAAGUGACAGAGUGGUUAUGUGGCUGGCUUGAAACCUGCAUAGGGGGGUUCAAUUCCUUCCUAUCUUA
This 71-nucleotide transfer RNA is filed under the name Bangana decora. RNAcentral's name for it is "tRNA-Ser". It matches the Rfam family "tRNA". From Rfam's summary of the family: Transfer RNA (tRNA) molecules are approximately 80 nucleotides in length. Their secondary structure includes four short double-helical elements and three loops (D, anti-codon, and T loops). Further hydrogen bonds mediate the characteristic L-shaped molecular structure. tRNAs have two regions of fundamental functional importance: the anti-codon, which is responsible for specific mRNA codon recognition, and the 3' end, to which the tRNAs corresponding amino acid is attached (by aminoacyl-tRNA synthetases). tRNAs cope with the degeneracy of the genetic code in two manners: having more than one tRNA (with a specific anti-codon) for a particular amino acid; and 'wobble' base-pairing, i.e. permitting non-standard base-pairing at the 3rd anti-codon position. Lineage: Eukaryota; Metazoa; Chordata; Actinopteri; Cypriniformes; Cyprinidae. The record is from RNAcentral.